GCUCCUGGGAAAUAACCACUAAAGUCUUGAAAUGUCUUGAGUGAUUGGAGGACCUUUAUUUUACACACCUGAUGCCUUAUGCUGAUGAGAUGACUCAGCAGGGGAUGGCCAGGCCAGAAAGACCAAAACUAUACCCUGAGGUUUGAGUUUCUGAGCCAGGUGACAUCAUCCUCCAGCUUGGCCGGCCUCUGCCUGGGAGCCUCUGGUGUGAAAGACAUGGAGGGCAGAUUUAUUAAAAUCAUCAACUUCACAUUAUUUGGAUGGAAACAUUGCCAAAUCAUAGAGAUGUUUGGUACCACCCCCGCGCCAAGCAGCUAGAAGUGCAGGAUCAGCUUAUUCACCUCCGAAAGCCUGCAUGCAACCACUGAGGUCACCUCUAUUUUUUACAUAGUUCUACUUGGUGUAUGUAACCCCACAGAGAAACAUGGAAGAAUGCAUGAAACCUAGUAAGGCAACCAGCACAUGCGACAGAAUGAACCAUUUCUUUCCAUCUGAAUACAUAAAUGUGGACUCUGAUCCUUUCUACCAAGUCCCAAGCUUGGGAAUAGAGGACGGACAAGGAGAGGGGCUCAGUCCCAUAUCAUAAUGUGCUUGUGAAUGGCUAAAAUUACAAUGCUGAAAUAAGUGUGUGUAAUAAAAUAAUUGUACCGAAUUGAAGAAUGUUUCACUGUUUAUUUU
RNAcentral lists this long non-coding RNA (678 nucleotides) under Pongo abelii (Sumatran orangutan). RNAcentral's name for it is "lincRNA". Lineage: Eukaryota; Metazoa; Chordata; Mammalia; Primates; Hominidae. The record is from RNAcentral.